This 377-nucleotide ribosomal RNA is filed under the name uncultured bacterium. Its description in RNAcentral is "bacterial SSU rRNA". It matches the Rfam family "Bacterial small subunit ribosomal RNA", at positions 524 to 898 of the family's 1533-position model. The record is from RNAcentral.
UACGUAUGGGGCAAGCGUUAUCCGGAUUUAUUGGGCGUAAAGCGCGCGUAGGCGGCUUGUUAAGUCAGAUGUGAAAUCCGGGGGCUCAACCCGCGGCUUGCAUCUGAAACUGGCAGGCUUGAGUCUGGUAGAGGAAAGUGGAAUUCCUGGUGUAGCGGUGAAAUGCGCAGAUAUCAGGAGGAACACCAGUGGCGAAGGCGGCUUUCUGGGCCACGACUGACGCUGAGGCGCGAAAGCUAGGGGAGCGAACAGGAUUAGAUACCCUGGUAGUCCUAGCCGUAAACGAUGGGCACUAGGUGUGGGGGGUCAUCGACUCCCUCCGUGCCGAAGCUAACGCAUUAAGUGCCCCGCCUGGGGAGUACGGCCGCAAGGCUAAA